CAGUAGCCGCGGUAAUACAGAGGGUGCGAGCGUUAAUCGGAUUUACUGGGCGUAAAGCGUGCGUAGGCGGCUUUUUAAGUCGGAUGUGAAAUCCCUGAGCUUAACCUGGGAACUGCAUUCGAUACUGGAUAGCUAGAGAUCGGUAGAGGGCAGCGGAAUUCCGGGUGUAGCGGUGAAAUGCGUAGAUAUCCGGAGGAACACCGAUGGCGAAGGCAACUGCCUGGGCCUGAUCUGACACUGAGGCACGAAAGCGUGGGUAGCAAACAGGAUUAGAUACCCGCGUAGUCCCUGUCUCUUAUAC
RNAcentral lists this ribosomal RNA (301 nucleotides) under uncultured bacterium. Its description in RNAcentral is "partial 16S ribosomal RNA". It matches the Rfam family "Bacterial small subunit ribosomal RNA", at positions 509 to 807 of the family's 1533-position model. The record is from RNAcentral.